Molecule: long non-coding RNA, 218 nt
Filed under: Ananas comosus (pineapple)
Lineage: Eukaryota; Viridiplantae; Streptophyta; Magnoliopsida; Poales; Bromeliaceae
Description: long non-coding RNA (ACOM_LNC026765)
Source: RNAcentral
CAGAAUAGCGGGGAUAGCUUUCAUUUUAGUUUUGUUUGUCACGAGCGAAGGUUGUGAUGGUUUAUAAAUCGCGGAAAGUGGAUUUCUCGUAUCUCGGCAUCAUUUAAAGGUGGGUGGUGCUUUCCGAAGUCAUCGAAUGACCUAUUAUAUUUAUGUCACUUUUCUUGAGCAUAUAUGGAUUGUAUAUGUUUAGUUGAUAUUCAUGCAUUAUAGGGUUG